AAGUUUUAUAUUUUAUUGUGUUUUGUGGCAGAUAAAUCUAAUUGUUUCAAGUUUUAAUUAAUUAUUUUAUUGUGUAAAAAAAGAGGUUGAUAAAAUUGAGGAAAUUGAGGAACAUUUUCCCCUAUUUUUUGCUGGUCUCAAAUGCUUUGAUUGUCUUUACCGUGUUAAAUAUAGCCUCUGGAUACUUGAAAUGAAGGUUAUUUAAGGAAGCCAACGCAAGUUAACCUAAGUUAUGAUUUUACAGCAGAACCGCCAAGUAUCAUCAUCAAGAUCGUCAUCGUCAUUAAAAGAAACAUUGAAAAGUUAAAUAUUAGUUUCACUAUCACCAACAUUAUCAUCAUCAUUCUCACCAUCAACAUAAUCAGAGCCACCACCAACACCAUAAAGACCGUAUACAAAACAAGUUUAACAGUUAGACAUGGUUACUUUUUAAUUUACUCAAAUUACUUGAACACCUUAAGAAUCAUCCUGAAAAUUUAACCCCUAACCUUGUAUGAAAAGGAAAGAAAAAUUGCUAAUUUUAAUAUCAAAAACCAUUGAUAAUGAAUACUAAAUAAAAACGGACUCGGUUUCAAGUGGCAAAAUUGUGAGACUAUUCAAGUUUACCUGAUGUGACAACUCGGAAAAAAUAUUUCAAAUCACUUCACUAUUGGAUCAACAAUUGAUCAAGGAAAUCUGAGGACUUAAUCAAGAAUGAUAUUUUGGCUUUUCAAAGACUGACCUCCAUCCACAAAUAAAUAUUGAUGAAUAUUUUUGAUAGAUGUUCAUCAUCUUUAUCGCCUUCAACACCACCAUUUUCAUCCUUUUAAUAACUUCCUUAGAAGAGAGAAGGUAAAGUUAACUGUGGUAAAAAAUAACGAGUUUCCUGGUUAUCUUCAAGUUAACUACAACAGUUUACCUUUUACCUUUUCUCCAUCAUCUUAACAUCUUACAAUCUUCAAUUUCAUCCAUCUUCCCUUUUGUCUCAUCAUCUUCGGUCUAAAUCAUUUUAGAAACACCCAAUUUCAAUCUAAUUUACCAUUAUCUUUAAUUCUUAGGGUCAACAUUUCAACCAGCCAUAUUAACCUUUUCCUUCUAAGUCUUCAUUUCUUGUAAUGUCUUUCUCUCGCUCUCUUCAAAUUACCUCUUUUAUUUCAAUUGAAGAUAGUUUCAAACCCUUACUUUUUUUCACCUAACAAUAUAAAUUAAACCAACACACUACACUUGGAAUGAUAUUAGCUAUUGUUUAACAACGGAAAUCAUUUUCCAUCUUACAAUUAAUCAUAUUGAAGAGAGCUUUUGUAGCAAUCAAUUUUUUCCAUUCACCUUAACAAUCUGGCUCCAUAAUUAAAAGGUUUAUUUGAAA
Non-coding RNA from Tetranychus urticae (two-spotted spider mite), 1345 nucleotides. The record is from RefSeq and is a predicted model, not a curated record. NCBI's taxonomy places the organism in Eukaryota, Metazoa, Arthropoda, Arachnida, Trombidiformes, Tetranychidae.